RNAcentral lists this ribosomal RNA (677 nucleotides) under uncultured bacterium. Its description in RNAcentral is "bacterial SSU rRNA". The stretch from base 1 to 551 matches the Rfam family "Bacterial small subunit ribosomal RNA", at positions 338 to 873 of the family's 1533-position model. The record is from RNAcentral.
CCUACGGGAGGCAGCAGUAGGGAAUCUUCCACAAUGGGCGAAAGCCUGAUGGAGCAACGCCGCGUGAGUGAUGAAGGCCUUCGGGUUGUAAAACUCUGUCAUUCGGGACGAACCGGAGUCUGAGGAAAUGCAGACUCUCUGACGGUACCGGAGGAGGAAGCCCCGGCUAACUACGUGCCAGCAGCCGCGGUAAUACGUAGGGGGCAAGCGUUGUCCGGAUUCACUGGGCGUAAAGCGCGCGCAGGCGGUGAUGUAAGUCUGAGGUGAAAACCCGAAGCUCAACUUCGGGACUGCCUUGGAUACUGCGUCACUUGAGGAUAGGAGAGGCAAGGGGAAUUCCACGUGUAGCGGUGAAAUGCGUAGAGAUGUGGAGGAACACCUGUGGCGAAGGCGCCUUGCUGGCCUAUUUCUGACGCUGAGGCGCGAAAGCGUGGGGAGCAAACAGGAUUAGAUACCCUGGUAGUCCACGCUGUAAACGAUGAGUGCUAGGUGCGAGGUGGGCGUCACUACCCACUCUGUGCCGACGACGUAACGACAUUAAGUACGACUCCCGCCCGUCGGGGUAGGUACGGGUCGGCGACGAACGUAGUAAACGUUAAAACGUUAAGUAAGUUAGGUACGGGACGGUUGAGGACGUUACGCCGGACGGGACGACCGACCGAGGGGAGGGUAGGGAG